RNAcentral lists this ribosomal RNA (512 nucleotides) under Aeshna mixta. RNAcentral's name for it is "partial 16S rRNA". It matches the Rfam family "Bacterial large subunit ribosomal RNA", at positions 1830 to 2597 of the family's 2925-position model. The record is from RNAcentral. Lineage: Eukaryota; Metazoa; Arthropoda; Insecta; Odonata; Aeshnidae.
GUCUUCUUGUUAUAUUUAGGAAGUCUGGCCUGCCCAGUGAAAAUAAUUUAACGGCCGCGGUAUACUGACCGUGCAAAGGUAGCAUAAUCAUUAGUCUUUUAAUAGAGGGCUGGUAUGAAGGGUUUAACGAGGUGUUGACUGUCUCAUUUAAUUUGAAUUUAGAAUUUAAUUUUUUAGUUAAAAAGCUAAAAUAUUAUUGGAAGACGAGAAGACCCUAUAGAGCUUUAUAUUUUUACUAUUAAUUUAUUAUAGUUUAUUAUUAUUUAUUAUUAGUAUGAAGUAUUUUGUUGGGGUGACAAAAAUAUAUAAAUAACUUUUUUAUUUUAUUUACAUUGAUAUAUGAAUAUUAGAUCCAAUCUUAUUGAUUGUUAGAUUAAGUUACCUUAGGGAUAACAGCGUAAUCCCUCUCCAGAGUUCAUAUUUACAGAGGGGCUUGCGACCUCGAUGUUGGAUUAAGAUAAUAAUUAGGUGCAGCCGCUUAAUUAAUAGGUCUGUUCGACCUUUAAAUUCUU